GUAACCCUAUUCACCUGCCCUGGAGACAUGGAAAACCCCGGGAAACUGGCAUUAAUCCGUGAUAGGUCACCUCAUCUGGAAGGAGAGAUGGCUUAAAGGGGCGCGAGAGCUUCUUUCUUGCAUUCGCUCCAGGAUGGGACUGCGGCCGAUCAGGCUGUUGGCGGUGUAAUGGACCACCAAACCUGUAACCGGUACGGGCCUUGAGAGAGGGGGCCCGGAGAUGGACACUGAGAGAAGGGUCCAGGUCCUACGGGGCGCAGCAGGCGCGAAACCUUCGCAAUGCGCGAAAGCGUGACGAGGUUAAUCCGAGUGGUCCCCGCUGAGGGGAUCUUUUGUUGGCUGUAAAAAGGCCGAUGAAUAAGGGGAGGGCAAGUCUGGUGUCAGCCGCCGCGGUAAUACCAGCUCCUCGAGUAGUCGGGGCGAUUAUUGGGCCUAAAGCAUCCGUAGCCGGUUCUGUAGGUCCUCUGUCAAAUCCAACGGCUUAACCGUUGGCCCGCAGAGGAUACCGCAGGACU
RNAcentral lists this ribosomal RNA (515 nucleotides) under uncultured archaeon. RNAcentral's name for it is "bacterial SSU rRNA". It matches the Rfam family "Archaeal small subunit ribosomal RNA", at positions 93 to 593 of the family's 1478-position model. The record is from RNAcentral.